CAAUAGCGUAUAUUUAAGUUGCUGCAGUUAAAAAGCUCGUAGUUGGAUUUCGGGUGGGAAUGGCCGGUCCGCCGUUUCGGUGUGCACUUGCUACGCCCACCUUGCUGCCGGGGACGUGCUCUUGAGUUCACGCUCGGGACACGGAGUCGGCGAGGUUACUUUGAGUAAAUUAGAGUGUUCAAAGCAGGCCUACGCUCUGAAUACAUUAGCAUGGAAUAACACGAUAGGACUCUGGCCUAUCUUGUUGGUCUGUAGGACCGGAGUAAUGAUUAAGAGGGACAGUCGGGGGCAUUCGUAUUUCAUUGUCAGAGGUGAAAUUCUUGGAUUUAUGAAAGACGAACUACUGCGAAAGCACUUGCCAAGGAUGUUUUCAUUAA
Molecule: ribosomal RNA, 377 nt
Filed under: uncultured eukaryote
Lineage: Eukaryota
Description: partial 18S ribosomal RNA
Rfam family: Eukaryotic small subunit ribosomal RNA
Source: RNAcentral